AGUGAACGCUGGCGGUAGGCCUAACACAUGCAAGUCGAACGGCAGCACAGUAAGAGCUUGCUCUUACGGGUGGCGAGUGGCGGACGGGUGAGGAAUACAUCGGAAUCUACUUUUUCGUGGGGGAUAACGUAGGGAAACUUACGCUAAUACCGCAUACGACCUACGGGUGAAAGCAGGGGAUCUUCGGACCUUGCGCGAUUGAAUGAGCCGAUGUCGGAUUAGCUAGUUGGCGGGGUAAAGGCCCACCAAGGCGACGAUCCGUAGCUGGUCUGAGUGGUGGAUCUGCCACCCUUGAACUGAGACACGGUCCAGACUCCUACGGGAGGCAGCAGUGGGGAAUAUUAGACAAUGGGGGCAAGCCUGAUCCAGCCAUACCGCGUGGGUGAAGAAGGCCUUCGGGUUGUAAAGCCCUUUUGUUGGGAAAGAAAAGCAGCAGGUUAAUACCCCGCUGUUCUGACGGUACCCAAAGAAUAAGCACCGGCUAACUUCGUG
This 492-nucleotide ribosomal RNA is filed under the name uncultured bacterium. RNAcentral describes it as "partial 16S ribosomal RNA". It matches the Rfam family "Bacterial small subunit ribosomal RNA", at positions 29 to 507 of the family's 1533-position model. The record is from RNAcentral.